GUUCUUGUUGACAAGUGAAAUCUAUAAAGGCAAUGAAAUUAUGGAGUUAAGAAGGUCAAAGAUCACUCAAAACGCUGCAUAGUUACAUGUAUAGAGAGGUCCAGUGCUAGCUGAAUCAUUAUUUAUCACUUCAUCCCAAGUCAUCCUAUUUCUCAUCAUCUUCACUUAUGUCACAUGGAAAUAAAUUUACUAUUGCAAAUAAAUUAGUUGAGGCUAAUGAAAACCACAAUAAAAUCUCAAGUGAAGAUAUGAAUAUAGAGGAAAAAUUAAAGCUGAACUUCUAAACAAAAUCAAAUUUCCAUUCACUUGUACAAGGAACAUUUGCAUAGAAAAAAAUAAAUUAUCAAUAAACGAUACCUGUGAUCACCAAGUUUGGCCCGC
Molecule: unclassified non-coding RNA, 381 nt
Filed under: Hevea brasiliensis (rubber tree)
Lineage: Eukaryota; Viridiplantae; Streptophyta; Magnoliopsida; Malpighiales; Euphorbiaceae
Source: RNAcentral